This 473-nucleotide ribosomal RNA is filed under the name uncultured bacterium. RNAcentral's name for it is "bacterial SSU rRNA". It matches the Rfam family "Bacterial small subunit ribosomal RNA", at positions 31 to 507 of the family's 1533-position model. The record is from RNAcentral.
GAACGCUGGCGGAAUGCUUACACAUGCAAGUCGAACGGUAGAGGGGGCAACCCUUGAGAGUGGCGAACGGUGAGUAAUAUAUCGGAACGUGCCCAGUCGUGGGGAUAACGUAGCGAAAGUUACGCUAAUACCGCAUACGAUCUAAGGAUGAAAGCGGGGGAUCGCAAGACCUCGCGCGAUUGGAGCGGCCGAUAUCAGAUUAGGUAGUUGGUGAGGUAAAGGCUCACCAAGCCAACGAUCUGUAGCUGGUCUGAGAGGACGACCAGCCACACUGGAACUGAGACACGGUCCAGACUCCUACGGGAGGCAGCAGUGGGGAAUUUUGGACAAUGGACGCAAGUCUGAUCCAGCCAUUCCGCGUGCAGGAUGAAGGCCCUCGGGUUGUAAACUGCUUUUGUACGGAACGAAAAGGUUUCUAUUAAUACUAGGAGCUCAUGACGGUACCGUAAGAAUAAGCACCGGCUAACUACGUG